RNAcentral lists this ribosomal RNA (379 nucleotides) under uncultured Anoxybacillus sp. RNAcentral's name for it is "bacterial SSU rRNA". It matches the Rfam family "Bacterial small subunit ribosomal RNA", at positions 1005 to 1382 of the family's 1533-position model. Lineage: Bacteria; Bacillati; Bacillota; Bacilli; Caryophanales; Anoxybacillaceae. The record is from RNAcentral.
GAUCGGCGUUCCCCUUCGGGGGACAGGGUGACAGGUGGUGCAUGGUUGUCGUCAGCUCGUGUCGUGAGAUGUUGGGUUAAGUCCCGCAACGAGCGCAACCCUCGACCUUAGUUGCCAGCAUUCAGUUGGGCACUCUAAGGUGACUGCCGGCUAAAAGUCGGAGGAAGGUGGGGAUGACGUCAAAUCAUCAUGCCCCUUAUGACCUGGGCUACACACGUGCUACAAUGGGCGGUACAAAGGGUCGCGAACCCGCGAGGGGGAGCCAAUCCCAAAAAGCCGCUCUCAGUUCGGAUUGCAGGCUGCAACUCGCCUGCAUGAAGCCGGAAUCGCUAGUAAUCGCGGAUCAGCAUGCCCGCGGUCCGAAUACGUUCCGGGCCUU